This 460-nucleotide ribosomal RNA is filed under the name uncultured bacterium. Its description in RNAcentral is "partial 16S ribosomal RNA". It matches the Rfam family "Bacterial small subunit ribosomal RNA", at positions 338 to 795 of the family's 1533-position model. The record is from RNAcentral.
CCUACGGGUGGCUGCAGUGAGGAAUAUUGGUCAAUGGACGAGAGUCUGAACCAGCCAAGUAGUGUGAAGGAUGACUGCCCUCUGGGUUGUAAACUUCUUUUAUAUGGGAAUAAAAUGUUCCACGUGUGGGAUUUUGUAUGUACCAUAUGAGUAAGGAUCGGCUAACUCCGUGACAGCAGCCGCGGUAAUACGGAGGAUCCGAGCGUUAUACGGUUUUAUUGGGGUUAAAGGGAGCGUAGGUGGAUUGUUAAGUCAGUUGUGAAAGUUUGCGGCUAAACCGUAAAAUUGAAGUUGAAACUGGCAGUCUUGAGUACAGUAGAGGUGGGCGGAAUUCGUGGUGUAGCGGUGAAAUGCUUAGAUAUCACGAAGAACUCCGAUUGCGAAGGCAGUUCACUGGACUGCAACUGACACUGAGGCUCGAAAGUGUGGGUAUCAAACAGGAUUAGAUACCCUAGUAGUC